GUCUUUUAUUUUCUGUUCCUCUAAGGGAAGAGAGACCAAAGAGAAUUCUACUUUGACCCUGGCUUAAGAGUGGAACAUAGAUGUCUAUAAAACUAUGUGGUACCAGCAUGUUAUGAAGAAUAAGCAAGAAGAAAGAGAAGGAGAAGAAGCAGGAGGAGGAGGAGAGAAGGAAAGGGAGGAGGAGGAGGAGAAAAAGAUGGUGGUAGAGGAGGAGGAGAAGAAGAAGAAGGAGGAGAAGGAGAAGGAGAAGAAGGAGCAGGAGGAGGAGGAAGAAGAAGAAGAGGAGAAGGGAACUCACAUGCUACCUGUGUGAGUCACAUGUCAGUGCAAUUUCUGGAGGUCAAUUGUAGCCCUGAAGUCUCAGAACAAUGGCAAAAAGAAAUACGGAGGGCAUGAUACAUUUGGCAGACUAAAAUUCUCAAGAUUCCUAUGCAGUCGAGUUUUACCAUAUGACUGAGUUCCAACAAAGAAAUAUGAGUAGAAGAUUGUAUAAGCAUCAUUUUUGACCCAGGGCUUUAAGAAGCAGACUAUGGAAAUGAUGUUAGACAAAAAGCAAAUUUGAGCAAUUUUGUUAUUCGGGUUCAAAAUGGGUCGUAAAGCAGCAGAGACAACUCUCAAAACAUCAGCAACACAUUUGGCGCGGGAACUGCUAAUGAACGUACAGUGGAGUGGUGGUUCAAGAAGUUUUGCGAAGGAAACGAGAGGCUUGAAGACGAAGAGUGUAGUGGCCAGCCAUUGGAAGUAGACAACGACAAAUUGAGAGCAAUCAUUGAAGCUGAUCCUCUUACAACUACAGGAGAAGUUGCCAAGGAACUCACCAUCAAUCAUUCUAUAGUAGUUUGGCAUUUGAAGCAGAUCGGAAAGGUGAAAAAGCUUGAUAAGUGAAUGCCUCAUGAACAGAGCAAAAAUUUUAAAACAUUGUUGUUUUGAAGUGACGUCUUCUCUUAUUUUACACAACAAUGAACCAUUUCUGGAUCGAAUUAUGACAUGUGAUGAAAAGUGGAUUUUAUAUGACAAGCUGCAAAAACCAGCUCAGUGGUUGGAUGGAGAAGAAGCUUCAAAGCACUUCCCAAAGCUGAACUUGCACCAACAAAAGCUCAUGGUCACAAUUUGGUGGUCUGCCGCCAGCCUGAUCUACUACAGCUUUCGGAAUCCCAGCGAAACCAUUAUGUCUGAGAAAUAUGCUCAGCAAAUCGAUGAGAUGUGCCAAAAACUUCAAGGCCUGCAGCCGGCAUUGGUCAACCAAAAGGAUCCAAUUCUUCUCUACCACAACGCCUGACCACAUGUCACAUAACCAACCCUUCAAAAGUUGAAUAAAUUGGUCUACAAAAUUGCCUUAUCUGCCAUAUUCACCUGACCUCUCACCAACCAACUACCACUUCUUCAGUUUGUCUCUUCCAGAAUCAAAGCUAUAAAACUACAAAUGGUUCUCCAAAUGGAGCCCCAGAUGCAGUCCAUGACUAAGAUCUACUGCGGACCUCUGGACCGGCCUGCUAGCCCAGCUCCCACAUUAAUGACAUCAAAGGCACCCCUCCCGAGGAAAUCUCAACUGCAUGACACCUACUACGCCCCAAUUCAGCAGGAAGCAGUUAGAGUGGUCGUUGGCCAACCUCCCCAACAGCACUUGGGUUUUCUGUUGAGAUGGGGGACUGAGAGACAGGACUAGCUGGAUUUCCUAGGCCAACUAAGAAUCCCUAAGCCUAGCUGGGAAGGUGACUACACCCACCUUUAACCACUAGGCUUGCAACUUAGCUCACACCCGACCAAUCAGGUAGUAAAGAGAGCUUGCUAAAAUGCUAAUUAGGCAAAAACAGGAGGUAAAGAAAUAGCCAGUCAUCUAUCGCCUGACAGCACAAGGGGCGGGACAAUGAUCAGGAUAUAAACUCAGGCAUUCAAGCCAGCAAUGGCUACCCACUUUGGGUCCCCUCCCAUUUUAUGGGAGCUCUGUUUUCACUCUAUUAAAUCUUUCAACUACCAAAAAAAAAAAAAAAGAAAAGAAAAACAAUUAACUUUUUUAUAUAUCAGUUAAAUUCAUCCAUGAUGUUUUUUAUGUUUUCUGUAUUCUUACUGGUCAUUUUUCUAUUUGUUCUAUCAAGUAUCCAGGAAUAUGUGUUAAAGAUGUCCACUUCAAUUGUGAAUUUCUUGAGUUGUUCUUUCAGUUUUGUUCUUUUUUUACCUUAUGCAUUUUGAAGUUGUAUUAUUUCCUGCAUACAAAUGUAGAAUUGUGGUGUCAUUCUUUUGGAGUAAACCAUGAUCAUUACUGGCAUGACUUACUUACUUACUAUCUAUCUAGACAUGUUGAUUGCUUCAAUUUCUACUUUAAUCUUAAUAAAAAUACACCAACUUUUU
RNAcentral lists this long non-coding RNA (2349 nucleotides) under Homo sapiens (human). RNAcentral's name for it is "non-protein coding LINC01239:11". The record is from RNAcentral. Lineage: Eukaryota; Metazoa; Chordata; Mammalia; Primates; Hominidae.